Molecule: long non-coding RNA, 257 nt
Organism: Suricata suricatta (meerkat)
Lineage: Eukaryota; Metazoa; Chordata; Mammalia; Carnivora; Herpestidae
Exons: 2
Source: RefSeq, a predicted model, not a curated record
CAAGACCUGAACUGAGAUCAAGAGUUGAACAUGUGAGUGCCCAAGAUUCCUCUCAAUAGAUUGGUGGAAACCAAAAGCAUGUGAUGGUUUUGAAGUUCAAGGAAAAUACAUAAGCCAGGCUUUACAACUCUCACUAUUUCGAAGAGCUCUUGAGGCAACAUGUAAUACAUAUUAAUGCCAUUUAAGUGGGGUCCAGCCCAACUUGUUCAAGAUCUAAAUGUAAUUGUGGACUAAACUCAAUAAAAUAAUAAAGUGCU